GUGGAUGAUCUGAUGAGCAGCAUAGAUGUGUUUUCUUUGGGACUGCCUCACUGCACAUAAAAAGAGGUCCAUUUUGUCAACAAUGAAUGCAAUUGGAUCUCACUUGCAUUUGAACAGCUGACCUUCAGCAGCCAGCUCUCAAUUCCCAGGAGAGGUUUCUCUACCCAAGGCAUUUUGGCUUGAACCUUGUUUGCAUGAACUGCAUCAGCUAUACUGGCAAUACCUCCUGGUAUUGCUGCAGUCCCUUCCUCUAUCCACAGUGAAUUCCAUCCAAAAGAAAACAGGCUCAAACUGGUGUUGAAGACUGAGUUUUC
Myiozetetes cayanensis is the source of this 314-nucleotide long non-coding RNA. RefSeq lists it as uncharacterized. The record is from RefSeq and is a predicted model, not a curated record. Lineage: Eukaryota; Metazoa; Chordata; Aves; Passeriformes; Tyrannidae. The transcript is spliced from 3 exons.